RNAcentral lists this ribosomal RNA (253 nucleotides) under uncultured bacterium. RNAcentral's name for it is "partial 16S ribosomal RNA". It matches the Rfam family "Bacterial small subunit ribosomal RNA", at positions 524 to 776 of the family's 1533-position model. The record is from RNAcentral.
CACGUGGGGAGCAAGCGUUGUUCGGAAUCACUGGGCGUAAAGGGCGUGUAGGCGGUCAAGUAAGUGGAAUGUGAAAGCCCCCGGCUUAACCGGGGAUGUGCAUCCCAAACUGCUUGGCUUGAGUACGGGAGAGGAUGGAGGAAUUCCUGGUGUAGCGGUGAAAUGCGUAGAUAUCAGGAGGAACACCGGUGGCGAAGGCGUCCAUCUGGCCCGAUACUGACGCUGAGGCGCGAAAGCUAGGGGAGCGAACGGG